This 480-nucleotide ribosomal RNA is filed under the name uncultured bacterium. RNAcentral's name for it is "partial 16S ribosomal RNA". It matches the Rfam family "Bacterial small subunit ribosomal RNA", at positions 28 to 523 of the family's 1533-position model. The record is from RNAcentral.
GACGAACGCUGGCGGCGUGCUUAACACAUGCAAGUCGAACGGUAAGGCCCUUUCGGGGGUACACGAGUGGCGAACGGGUGAGUAACACGUGGGUAAUCUGCCCUGCACUUCGGGAUAAGCCUGGGAAACUGGGUCUAAUACCGGAUAUGAGCUCUGGCCGCAUGGUCUGGGGUUGGAAAGUUUUUCGGUGCAGGAUGAGCCCGCGGCCUAUCAGCUUGUUGGUGGGGUAAUGGCCUACCAAGGCGACGACGGGUAGCCGGCCUGAGAGGGUGAUCGGCCACACUGGGACUGAGACACGGCCCAGACUCCUACGGGAGGCAGCAGUGGGGAAUAUUGCACAAUGGGCGGAAGCCUGAUGCAGCGACGCCGCGUGGGGGAUGACGGUCUUCGGAUUGUAAACCCCUUUCAGUAGGGACGAAGCGCAAGUGACGGUACCUGCAGAAGAAGCACCGGCCAACUACGUGCCAGCAGCCGCCGUAA